AUUGAACGCUGGCGGCAGGCCUAACACAUGCAAGUCGAGCGGAGCGUCAGACGGGUGAGUAAUGCCUAGGAAUCUGCCUGGUAGUGGGGGAUAACGUCCGGAAACGGGCGCUAAUACCGCAUACUCUCAGAUGAGCCUAGGUCGGAUUAGGUGGUUGGUGGGGUAAAGGCCUACCAAGGCGACGAUCCGUAACUGGUCUGAGAGGAUGAUCAGUCACACUGGAACGGAGACACGGUCCAGACGACUAGGGGCGGCAGCAGUGGGGAAUAGUGGACAAUGGGCGAAAGCCUGAUCCAGCCAUGCCGCGAGUGUGAAGAAGGUCUUCGGAUUGUAAAGCACUUUAAGUUGGGAGGCGUUACCAACAGAAUAAGUACCGGCUAACUUCGUGCCAGCCGCCGCGGUAAUUC
Molecule: ribosomal RNA, 407 nt
Filed under: uncultured bacterium
Lineage: Bacteria
Description: partial 16S ribosomal RNA
Rfam family: Bacterial small subunit ribosomal RNA
Source: RNAcentral